This 468-nucleotide ribosomal RNA is filed under the name uncultured bacterium. RNAcentral's name for it is "partial 16S ribosomal RNA". It matches the Rfam family "Bacterial small subunit ribosomal RNA", at positions 28 to 507 of the family's 1533-position model. The record is from RNAcentral.
GACGAACGCUGGCGGCGUGCUUAACACAUGCAAGUCGAACGGAAAGGCCCUGCUUUUGUGGGCUGCUCGAGUGGCGAACGGGUGAGUAACACGUGAGUAACCUGCCCUUGACUUUGGGAUAACUUCAGGAAACUGGGGCUAAUACCGGAUAGGAUCUCCUGCUGCAUGGUGGGGGUUGGAUAGUUUCGGCGGUUGGGGAUGGAAUGGCGGCUUAUCAGCUUGUUGGUGGGGUAGUGGCUUAGCAAGGCCUUGACGGGUAGCCGGCCUGAGAGGGUGACCGGCCACAUUACGACUGAGAUACGGCCCAGACUCCUACGGGAGGCAGCGGUGGAGAGUAUUGCACAGUGGGCGGGAGGCUGAUGCAGCAACGCCGCGUGCGGGAUGACGGCCUUCGGGUUGUAAACCGCUUUCGCCUGUGACGAAGCGUGAGUGACGGUAAUGGGUGAAGAAGCACCGGCUAACUACGUG